RNAcentral lists this ribosomal RNA (253 nucleotides) under uncultured bacterium. RNAcentral describes it as "partial 16S ribosomal RNA". It matches the Rfam family "Bacterial small subunit ribosomal RNA", at positions 524 to 776 of the family's 1533-position model. The record is from RNAcentral.
UACGUAGGUGGCAAGCGUUGUUCGGAAUUAUUGGGCGUAAAGGGCGCGCAGGCGGUUCUGUUUGUCGAGUGUGAAAGCCCCGGGCUCAACCUGGGAACUGCGCUCGAAACGGCGGAACUAGAGUUCGGGAGAGGAGAGUGGAAUUCCCAGUGUAGAGGUGAAAUUCGUAGAUAUUGGGAAGAACACCGGUGGCGAAGGCGGCUCUCUGGGCAGUAACUGACGCUGAGGAGCGAAAGCGUGGGGAGCGAACAGG